GCUUGUCUCAAAGAUUAAGCCAUGCAUGUCUAAGUAUAAAUGUUAUACAGUGAAACUGCGAAUGGCUCAUUAAAACAGUUAUAGUUUAUUUGAUAAUCGAAUUUACAUGGAUAACCGUAGUAAUUCUAGAGCUAAUACGUGCGUAAAUCCCGACUCCUGGAAGGGACGUAUUUAUUAGAUUUAAGGCCAACCGAGCUUGCUCGUCUCUUGGUGAAUCAUGAUAACUUCACGAAUCGCAUGGCCUCGCGCCGGCGAUAUUUCAUUCAAAUUUCUGCCCUAUCAAUUGGCGAUGGUAGGAUAGAGGCCUACCAUGGUGUUAACGGGUGACGGGGGAUUAGGGUUCGAUUCCGGAGAGGCAGCCUGAGAAACGGCUACCACAUCCAAGGAAGGCAGCAGG
This 397-nucleotide ribosomal RNA is filed under the name Tetraselmis cordiformis. RNAcentral's name for it is "partial small subunit ribosomal RNA". It matches the Rfam family "Eukaryotic small subunit ribosomal RNA", at positions 30 to 432 of the family's 1831-position model. Lineage: Eukaryota; Viridiplantae; Chlorophyta; Chlorodendrophyceae; Chlorodendrales; Chlorodendraceae. The record is from RNAcentral.